Molecule: ribosomal RNA, 301 nt
Filed under: uncultured bacterium
Lineage: Bacteria
Description: partial 16S ribosomal RNA
Rfam family: Bacterial small subunit ribosomal RNA
Source: RNAcentral
CAGUCGCCACGGUAAUACGUAGGGUGCGAGCGUUAAUCGGAAUUACUGGGCGUAAAGCGUGCGCAGGCGGUUAUAUAAGACAGAUGUGAACUCCCCGGGCUCAACCUGGGACCUGCAUUUGUGACUGUAUAGCUAGAGUACGGUAGAGGGGGAUGGAAUUCCGCGUGUAGCAGUGAAAUGCGUAGAUAUGCGGAGGAACACCGAUGGCGAAGGCAAUCCCCUGGACCUGUACUGACGCUCAUGCACGAAAGCGUGGGGAGCAAACAGGAUUAGAUACCCCUGUAGUCCCUGUCUCUUAUCC